GGGAUCAUUUCACUCGCGGAUCGGGCAUUCCCAAUCCCUGAGUGACAUGAACCCGAA
Molecule: microRNA precursor, 57 nt
Filed under: Pristionchus pacificus
Lineage: Eukaryota; Metazoa; Nematoda; Chromadorea; Rhabditida; Neodiplogasteridae
Description: microRNA ppc-mir-8236 precursor
Source: miRBase by way of RNAcentral